This 426-nucleotide ribosomal RNA is filed under the name uncultured bacterium. RNAcentral's name for it is "bacterial SSU rRNA". It matches the Rfam family "Bacterial small subunit ribosomal RNA", at positions 354 to 796 of the family's 1533-position model. The record is from RNAcentral.
GCAAGGAAUUUUGCGCAAUGGGCGAAAGCCUGACGCAGCGACGCCGCGUGGGGGACGAAGGCCUUCGGGUUGUAAACCCCUUUUCUCGUGGAAGAAUAAUGACGGUACUCGAGGAAUAAGUCUUGGCUAACUACGUGCCAGCAGCCGCGGUAAUACGUAGAAGGCAAACGUUAUUCGGAUUCAUUGGGCGUAAAGCGGGUGUAGAUGGCUUCUUAAGUUGGAUGUGAAAUCUCCUGACUCAAUCAGGAGGAGACAUUCGAUACUGAGGAGCUCGAGGGCAGCAGAGGAAGGCGGAAUUCCCGGUGUAGCGGUGAUAUGCGUAGAUAUCGGGAGGAACACCAGUGGCGCAGGCGGCCUUCUAGGCUGCUCCUGACAUUGAGACCCAAAAGUGUGGGGAGCGAAACGGAUUAGAUACCCUGGUAGUCC